UCUUGUGGAUCAGUGGCGAACGGGUGAGUAACACGUGAGCAACCUGCCCCUGACUCUGGGAUAAGCGCUGGAAACGGCGUCUAAUACUGGAUACGAACCGCAGCCGCAUGGCUAGUGGUUGGAAAGAUUUUUCGGUCUGGGAUGGGCUCACGGCCUAUCAGCUUGUUGGUGAGGUAAUGGCUCACCAAGGCGUCGACGGGUAGCCGGCCUGAGAGGGUGACCGGCCACACUGGGACUGAGACACGGCCCAGACUCCUACGGGAGGCAGCAGUGGGGAAUAUUGCACAAUGGGCGAAAGCCUGAUGCAGCAACGCCGCGUGAGGGAUGACGGCCUUCGGGUUGUAAACCUCUUUUAGCAGGGAAGAAGCGAAAGUGACGGUACCUGCAGAAAAAGCGCCGGCUAACUACGUGCCAGCAGCCGCGGUAAUACGUAGGGCGCAAGCGUUAUCCGGAAUUAUUGGGCGUAAAGAGCUCGUAGGCGGUUUGUCGCGUCUGCUGUGAAAUCCCGAGGCUCAACCUCGGGCCUGCAGUGGGUACGGGCAGACUAGAGUGCGGUAGGGGAGAUUGGAAUUCCUGGUGUAGCGGUGGAAUGCGCAGAU
RNAcentral lists this ribosomal RNA (599 nucleotides) under Microbacterium oleivorans. Its description in RNAcentral is "bacterial SSU rRNA". It matches the Rfam family "Bacterial small subunit ribosomal RNA", at positions 83 to 695 of the family's 1533-position model. Lineage: Bacteria; Bacillati; Actinomycetota; Actinomycetes; Micrococcales; Microbacteriaceae. The record is from RNAcentral.